GCUACGGGGAGCUGCAGUGAGGAAUAUUGGUCAAUGGGCUUACGCCUGAACCAGCCAAGUCGCGUGAGGGAAGACUGCCCUAUGGGUUGUAAACCCCUUUUGUCAGGGAGCAACGCCGGCUACGUGUAGCCGGAAUGAGAGUACCCGAAGAAAAAGCAUCGGCUAACUCCGUGACAGCAGCCGCGGUAAUACGGAGGAUGGGAGCGUUAUGCGGAUGUAUUGGGGUUAAAGGGCGCGUAGGCGGUCUGAUAAGGUAGAGGUGAAAACCCGCGGCUCAACUUCGGAAUUACGUCUGAUACUGUUCGGCUAGAGAGUAGGUGCGGUAGGCGGAAUGUAUGGUGUAGCGGUGAAAUGCUUAGAGAUCAUACAGAACACCGAUUGCGAAGGCAGCUUACCAAGCUACUUCUGACGUUGAGGCACGAAAGCGUGGGGAGCAAACAGGAUUAGAUACCCCUGUAGUC
This 461-nucleotide ribosomal RNA is filed under the name uncultured bacterium. Its description in RNAcentral is "partial 16S ribosomal RNA". It matches the Rfam family "Bacterial small subunit ribosomal RNA", at positions 338 to 795 of the family's 1533-position model. The record is from RNAcentral.